UCCGGAUUUAUUGGGUUUAAAGGGUGCGUAGGCGGACUAUUAAGUCAGUGGUGAAAUCCUGCAGCUUAACUGCAGAACUGCCAUUGAUACUGCCAAUCUUGAGUACAUUUGACGAGGGCGGAAUGUGUCAUGUAGCGGUGAAAUGCUUAGAUAUGACACAGAACACCGAUUGCGAAGGCAGCGCUCGAAACUGCAACUGACGCUGAGGCACGAAAGCGUGGGUAUCAAACAGG
This 233-nucleotide ribosomal RNA is filed under the name uncultured bacterium. RNAcentral describes it as "partial 16S ribosomal RNA". It matches the Rfam family "Bacterial small subunit ribosomal RNA", at positions 544 to 776 of the family's 1533-position model. The record is from RNAcentral.